Molecule: ribosomal RNA, 373 nt
Filed under: uncultured bacterium
Lineage: Bacteria
Description: bacterial SSU rRNA
Rfam family: Bacterial small subunit ribosomal RNA
Source: RNAcentral
GUAGGGGGCGAGCGUUGUCCGGAUUCAUUGGGCGUAAAGAGCGUGUAGGCGGCCAGGUAGGUCGGAUGUGAAAACUCGAGGCUCAACCUCGAGAGGUCAUCCGAAACCAUUUGGCUAGAGUCCGGAAGAGGAGAGUGGAAUUCCUGGUGUAGCGGUGAAAUGCGCAGAUAUCAGGAAGAACACCGAUGGCGAAGGCAGCUCUCUGGUACGGUACUGACGCUGAGACGCGAAAGCGUGGGGAGCGAACAGGAUUAGAUACCCUGGUAGUCCACGCCGUAAACGAUGGGCGCUAGGUGUGGGCGGUGUCGACUCCGUCCGUGCCGCAGCUAACGCAUUAAGCGCCCCGCCUGGGGAGUACGGCCGCAAGGCUAAA